This 482-nucleotide long non-coding RNA is filed under the name Medicago truncatula (barrel medic). RNAcentral's name for it is "lncRNA gene29538". Lineage: Eukaryota; Viridiplantae; Streptophyta; Magnoliopsida; Fabales; Fabaceae. The record is from RNAcentral.
GAAAAGGGCCAAAAGCCACUUGCUAAUCUUGGCUAAUUAAAUUAUCAGCAAUAUUUUCUAAACUAUCAACAAGUUGUUAAUUACAUAAAUCAAAGCUGUUAGAGGGUAAGAUACUGCAUCAAACUUAAUGAUAUGAAUACAAUGGUGGCAUCAAAUUGAACAUAUUUAUUCUUGGUAAUUGGUAGGCUUUUCUAUUUAGAAUUUUAAAGUUGCCCAAAGUAGAGAGAUUCGCAUUCUAUUGUGGAUUUGCUUAAUAUCCAAUCCAUGGUUUCAAAUGCUAGCAUGCAAAAGGAGUCCAAUGCUAUUAACAUUAUUUUCAUUUUAUUAUUAUUGAAAUUAGAAAGAAAAUAUAUAAGAGUGUAAAGUUUGAAAAGCAAGUGUCUAUAUUCUUUCAAAAAAAAUGUCUAACUUAUUGUGAUGCUAUUAUACAAUCUUAUAUGAUGAAUAAAUUAAGAAUUAAUUGAACGAUGAUUACAAAUUUG